UCACCAGAUUAGGCCAACAAAACCAAGCAAAGUUAAUGUGGUAUAAGGCAGACGCUAAAGGUGUAAAGGGAGUGUUCAUGGAGCAGUUGAAUGGCUGCAGAAGCUCAUCCAGGUCAGCCCCUCCUUGAGAUGCAGAUCAUCCGUGAUCACCUGAUGGUUCCGGACACAGGGAGGGCUAAGCUCUCGUCGACCUCUCAAAGACAGCCUAGCAACACCCUCUGUUCUUAUCAUCCGGACACCCACACACUGCCUCUCUCUUCUUCACCACCUCCCCCAGGCCUCCCACCCAGACCCUCAGUCCUUGGAGAAGACCCCAGGCCAACGGUGAACAAGGGGCUCCUGAAUGGGCCCUGGACUGGCCUUUGUCUGGCCCUACUGCAGAGUCCCUUUAUUUACACAGUCUUUAACGCUGUAUGUUUUCUUGUCUCUUAAUUGCAUUGGCCUUUGCUGCCCCUUGGUCAAUCAAUACCAUCUCUCCAAUGACAUCAGCAACUCUAUUCAGCGAGGCCUCACCAGGUGAUGGGUGUUUCGUGGGAGAGCUGGUGGGAACGAGCCCUGUAAAUGUAGACCCACCGCCCUCUUUCCUUCCAUCACUGAGUCUGUGUACACAUAUAUAUAUCUGUCUACAAAACCCUGUCUGUCUAUGUACCCCAACCAUAUAGCAACAUACAAUAUCUGUAUGUACAGUAUGAUGGUUUCCUACUAUCUAUAUACAACCCUCUGUCUCUUUGUUAAUUCCCAAAUGGUGCACUCAUGCGGGCACGUGUUUUUUGUGGAGGAGGGUGGGUCUUCUUCAGCUUCAGGCUCAGCACUCUGGAGUCCAUAGGUGAGCUAACUGCAUCAUAAGUCUGGUUGAAGCGACAAUCAGUGCCAUCAAAACAAUUUUGCCGACCCUUGACUCUAUAGAAGAGCAGGAGAGAGAGGGAGUUGACAUGCCUUUACCAACCCUGAGUGCGUGUGACCAAGCACAUUAAUCAUAAGAGGUAUAACCCUCUCCUGUGUCCAAUUCAGCGAUGAUUCUCUAGUGCCGCACCAUGGCAAUGUUUAGACAGAGCCGGACAUAAUUAUCUUUUUGUGUACUUUAAUAAGGAGACAUCCGAGUGUUCAGACGACAGGGGCACACACGCCACAAAACUACCGUACAGUGAUAUUAUCCCCUUCAUUCCGUGUAAUUAAAACAUAAAUAAUUAAAUGCCACUAACUAACAUAACUGAUAUGCAAAUUUCGACGAUUUAGUGAGUUGAAGAACACAGGGAUUUUUUUUUCGCAAAUGGGGACCAUUUAAAGUUGACCUUUGGAAAUGUUUUUUUUUAAUGCAAUGUGAUGGUGCUGUUUAAUUUGAAGAGGUACUUAUCUCAAAGUCAACAUCUUACUUCUGUUUUCCUGACACACACUCAGUCACCAUAUAUUAGGCAGUAGCCUGGCAACCACAAGAGUAGAGUCGUACCAAAUGGAUAUGUUUGCAGUAUGACAAGCCCGGUGUGCUCCUCACCGCUGACCCCGCCUGCCAUUUUGUUUCUGUCCUGCGAAGGUGUCAGUGAUAAACGUUACCUUGUCUCAGCAGGUGUGCCUGGAUGGAGGGCCCUGCCGCACGGAGGGGGUCACCAACCCCACUGUGUUUCCCCCAUUUAUUUGAAUAAUGGGCCAUUAGGACGGCUGGAUAUCCAAUGUUAAAGUAGCCGUAUGUGGCUCCUACAUAAAAGACAUAAUUACCUGAGAGAGGGAGGAUGUGUUGGUGCACACUUUUCCUCAGCUGUGCUCCAGAGCUCAGAUUGAACACUCUCUCCUGCCAUUAGGUGGCGACAGAGAGAAUUUGAAGGCCCUGGCUAUGGUUUACACACAAACAUGAACACAACUGCUGAACAAAAUGUUAGAACAAAUUUAGUCAAGAAGUAGAUGUCUGAAAAGGAACCUGUGGAAUUUCAAUUAAAAUUCCUGCAUAUUAGAGUCAUUUUAAGUCAAAUCACAACACAGUUUGGGGAUUUACAACUUGGUGUUAAAUUGAUCAUCGCAGCUUGACUUUUUUUGGUCAGAAAGCACUUAUUCAUGUUUCAAUUCAAAUGUAUUCAAAUAGGCGACAUACAAUUAAUUCAGUUUCCAGAGAGAAUGUGUCUCUAAAACUACAGUAUGUGUCUUUUAAACUAUUUUCAGGCAAUUACUGUUCUCGUUGAAUUGCAUAGUAUCAUGGUGAACAGAGAGUGGGCAAUUUGUAAACCUUUGCCUUGCUGAGAGAUAGAGUUGUCCUUUUUUGUCUGCAUUGUGGCUCAUUUUGCCUUUUAUAAUUUUAGUUCAAGAGAGACUUGCAGUGCAGUCGGAUUGGAUUGGAAAUUUGGAGUGGUGUUUAUAUGAACCAAAGAGAUUUCCAAUUAAGGAUGCAUUCUUUAUCAUUUAUUUGCCCUUGGGGUUUUAUUCCUCAAUUGCUAUCACCUUAUAAAAGCAUCCUUUUAGCGCAAAGAAUAGAAGCCCAUUUUCAUGACCUCCUCUAAUGCGUUUCAAUCCAUCUUCACUGCCUCGAAAAAAGUUUUCACCUCUCCACAAAACAUGUUAAUUGCUAUCGUGGGCCCAGUACAAAGAAAAUAUCUACACGUUAAUUAUCCAAAUAUAUUGGCAACCCAUCUGCAGACAGCCAUUGAAAUCACUAAAUUGUGUUUUCUCCUUUUCGUCUUUCAUUUUGGACACAUUGUGAAUCAAAAGGCUUUAAAAAUGUGCAGAUGGGUAAUCCUUGUGUCUGCAAGGAGCAGCCUGGUUCAAGGUGAGUGUUUCAUGCCCCUAUAAGCCCUUCUGUUUCGCUCCAUUGUGCUGUUUAGGUUAUAUCCUGAUGGGAUGUUCACCAUACUUAAAUGGGGACUUUUCUUGCACACAUGCAGACAAACACACACACACACACACACACACACACACUAAACACACACACCAAACACACACACACUAACUCAUGCACUCAUAUUUAUGUGCACACGUACACUGCUCUACAUGACUAGACCCACACACACACACAGACUCCCAGGAAAUCUUGGCCUUCACUGUACAAUGAUGGGUCAUUAAUAAUAAUGUAAUUACUAAUUGUAAUGUGAUUUAAAGAGAAUAAAAUGUAUUCCUGUUCAGCAUUGUGCAGAAAUAGUCAUGUGAAAGAUUUGAACCUCAAACUUCAAAGAUCUAUACAGUGUGUGCGCCAUAAGAAGAAAUCCUUAACCUCUGAGGUUUAAUGGGGCAAAACUGUGGAGAGUCUCUUGAAGGGCGGUUAAAAUACAUUCUUAUCGUGUUUUAUAGCUGUGCCAUGACUGGCUAUCUUUGUCUGAAAUGAUUCAUCAUCAUGACAGCCUUGGUCCAAAAUGCCAUCGGAAAAUCAUAAAGUUAAAUCUCACUUUGAUUAUAACAUUUUGUUAGAUACCCAGUUUCACUAAUGAGUAAGUGUCAUUAUGUAUUCACCUUUUCUCAUAUUGAGUUGGAUGUAACUGUAUUAUCUCUUCGAUUUACACACGGCAUCUAUUGCACGUCUGUCCGUCCUGGAAGAGGGAUCCCU
Long non-coding RNA from Trematomus bernacchii (emerald rockcod), 3523 nucleotides. RefSeq lists it as uncharacterized. Lineage: Eukaryota; Metazoa; Chordata; Actinopteri; Perciformes; Nototheniidae. The record is from RefSeq and is a predicted model, not a curated record. The transcript is spliced from 3 exons.